AGAGUUUGAUCCUGGCUCAGGAUGAACGCUGGCGGCGUGCCUAACACAUGCAAGUCGAGCGGGAAAUUUUAAAAUGAAGCUUCGGUAGAUUUUUAAGAUGGAGAGCGGCGGACGGGUGAGUAACGCGUAGGCAACCUGCCCUUUGCAGAGGGAUAGCCAUUGGAAACGAUGAUUAAAACCUCAUAAUACUAAAUAGUCACAUGGCUGUUUGGUCAAAGAUUUAUCGGCAAAGGAUGGGCCUGCGUCUGAUUAGCUAGUUGGUGGGGUAACGGCCUACCAAGGCGACGAUCAGUAGCCGACCUGAGAGGGUGAUCGGCCACAUUGGAACUGAGACACGGUCCAAACUCCUACGGGAGGCAGCAGUGGGGAAUAUUGCACAAUGGGCGAAAGCCUGAUGCAGCAACGCCGCGUGAAGGAAGAAGGUCUUCGGAUCGUAAACUUCUGUCCUUGGGGAAGAUAAUGACGGUACCCUUGGAGGAAGCCCCGACUAACUACGUGCCAGCAGCCGCGGUAAUACGUAGGGGGCAAGCGUUAUCCGGAAUUAUUGGGCGUAAAGAGUGCGUAGGUGGUUACUUAAGCGCGGGGUUUAAGGCAAUGGCUCAACCAUUGUUCGCCCUGCGAACUGGGUUACUUGAGUGCAGGAGAGGAAAGCGGAAUUCCUAGUGUAGCGGUGAAAUGCGUAGAUAUUAGGAGGAACACCAGUGGCGAAGGCGGCUUUCUGGACUGUUACUGACACUGAGGCACGAAAGUGUGGGGAGCAAACAGGAUUAGAUACCCUGGUAGUCCACACCGUAAACGAUGAGCACUAGGUGUCGGGGUCGCAAGACUUCGGUGCCGCAGUUAACGCAUUAAGUGCUCCGCCUGGGGAGUACGUACGCAAGUAUGAAACUCAAAGGAAUUGACGGGGACCCGCACAAGCAGCGGAGCAUGUGGUUUAAUUCGAAGCAACGCGAAGAACCUUACCAGGACUUGACAUCCUCCUGACCGCUCUUUAAUAGGAGCUUUCCUUCGGGACAGGAGAGACAGGUGGUGCAUGGUUGUCGUCAGCUCGUGUCGUGAGAUGUUGGGUUAAGUCCCGCAACGAGCGCAACCCUUGUCAUUAGUUGCCAUCAUUAAGUUGGGCACUCUAGUGAGACUGCCGGGAAUAACUCGGAGGAAGGUGGGGAUGACGUCAAAUCAUCAUGCCCCUUAUGUUCUGGGCUACACACGUGCUACAAUGGUCGGUACAAAGAGACGCGAAGUCGCGAGGCGGAGCAAAUCUCAAAAGCCGAUCCCAGUUCGGACUGUGGUCUGCAACCCGACCACACGAAGCUGGAAUCGCUAGUAAUCGCGAAUCAGAAUGUCGCGGUGAAUACGUUCCCGCGGUCUUGCACACACCGCCCGUCA
Molecule: ribosomal RNA, 1386 nt
Filed under: synthetic construct
Also listed under: 1 other name
Description: bacterial SSU rRNA
Rfam family: Bacterial small subunit ribosomal RNA
Source: RNAcentral